UACGAAGGGGGCUAGCGUUGCUCGGAAUCACUGGGCGUAAAGCGCACGUAGGCGGAUUGUUAAGUCAGGGGUGAAAUCCUGGAGCUCAACUCCAGAACUGCCUUUGAUACUGGCGAGCUCGAGUCCGGGAGAGGUGAGUGGAACUGCGAGUGUAGAGGUGAAAUUCGUAGAUAUUCGCAAGAACACCAGUGGCGAAGGCGGCUCACUGGCCCGGUACUGACGCUGAGGUGCGAAAGCGUGGGGAGCAAACAGG
This 253-nucleotide ribosomal RNA is filed under the name uncultured bacterium. RNAcentral's name for it is "partial 16S ribosomal RNA". It matches the Rfam family "Bacterial small subunit ribosomal RNA", at positions 524 to 776 of the family's 1533-position model. The record is from RNAcentral.